GAUGAACGCUGGCGGCGUGCCUAAUACAUGCAAGUCGAGCGAACGGACGAGAAGCUUGCUUCUCUGAUGUUAGCGGCGGACGGGUGAGUAACACGUGGAUAACAUACCUAUAAGACUGGGAUAACUUCGGGAAACCGUAGCUAAUACCGGAUAAUAUUUUGAACCGCAUGGUUCAAAAGUGAAAGACGGUCUUGCUGUCACUUAUAGAUGGAUCCGCGCUGCAUUAGCUAGUUGGUAAGGUAACGGCUUACCAAGGCAACGAUGCAUAGCCGACCUGAGAGGGUGAUCGGCCACACUGGAACUGAGACACGGUCCAGACUCCUACGGGAGGCAGCAGUAGGGAAUCUUCCGCAAUGGGCGAAAGCCUGACGGAGCAACGCCGCGUGAGUGAUGAAGGUCUUCGGAUCGUAAAACUCUGUUAUUAGGGAAGAACAUAUGUGUAAGUAACUGUGCACAUCUUGACGGUACCUAAUCAGAAAGCCACGGCUAACUACGUG
Molecule: ribosomal RNA, 497 nt
Filed under: uncultured bacterium
Lineage: Bacteria
Description: partial 16S ribosomal RNA
Rfam family: Bacterial small subunit ribosomal RNA
Source: RNAcentral